This is a long non-coding RNA of Cyprinus carpio carpio, 770 nucleotides long. NCBI's taxonomy places the organism in Eukaryota, Metazoa, Chordata, Actinopteri, Cypriniformes, Cyprinidae. The record is from Ensembl.
AGGUUUGCUAGGCAGUUCUGAGUGGUUGCUAGGUGUUUUGAGGAGUUUCAGGCAGUUAUUGGGUGUUCUGAGUCAUUGCUAGUCACUUGCUCAGUGUUUUGAGAGGUUGCUAGGCAGCUAUUGGGUGUUCUGAGUGGUUGCUAGGCAGUUAUUAGUUGUUCUGAGAGGCAUCGGAGUGGUUGCUAGGCAGUUCUGAGAGAUUGUCAAGCAGUUAUUAGGUGUUUGCGUGGUUGCUAUAUGUGUUUUAGAUGUGGUUAGGUAGUUAUUGGGUGUUCUGAGUGGUUGCUAUGCAGUUGCUGGGUGUUUUUUAGUGGUUGUUAGGCAGCUGUUACAGUAGGUGUUUGAGUGGUUUCUAGGUAGCUGCUAUGUAUUUUGAAACGUUUCUAAGUAGUUGCUAGGUGUUUUGAGACAUUGCUGGGCAGUUGCUAAGGUGUUCUAAAAGUUGUUAGGCAGUUAUUAGGUGUUUGAGUGGUUGCUAUGCAGUUGCUAGGUGUUUUAAAAUGUUGUUAGGUUGAUAUUAGGUGUCCUGAGUGGUUGCUAGGCAUUUGCUAGAUGUUUUGAGAGGUUGUUAGGUGGUUAUUAGGUUUUCUGAGUGGUUGCUAGGCAAUUGCGAUUUGUUUUGAGAGGUUGUCAGGCAGUUAUUUGGUGUUCUUAGUGAUUGCUAAGUACAAUUAUACUUAAUAAGACCAUUUUGUCUAUGGUUUUACAGCCUUUUUUUCGUAGUUAUCACUCAACAAAAUUGCAGUGUUUAACUAAAAUAUUUUUUUUAU